This 29-nucleotide non-coding RNA is filed under the name Rattus norvegicus (Norway rat). Lineage: Eukaryota; Metazoa; Chordata; Mammalia; Rodentia; Muridae. The record is from RNAcentral.
UCCUAAAAGCAGCAGUUUGGAUUUGGUGA